UUUUGGUGAAGUAAUGGCUCACCAAGGUGUCGACGGGUAGCCGNCCUGAGAGGGUGACCGGCCACACUGGGAGUGAGACACGNCCCAGANUCNUACGGGAGGCAGCAGUGGGGAAUAUUGCACAAUGGGCGAAAGCCUGAUGCAGCAACGNCGCGUGAGGGAUGACGGCCUUNGUUGUAAACNUNUUUUANCAGGGAAGAAGNGAAAGCGGUACCUGCAGAAAAAGCGCCGGCUAACUANGUGCCAGCAGCCGNGGUAAUANGUAGGGCGCAAGCNUUAUCCGGAANUAUUGGGCGUAAAGAGCUCGUAGNCGGUUUGUCGCGUCUGCUGUGAAAUCCCGAGGCUCAACCUCGGGCCCUGCAGUGGGUACGGGCAGACUAGAGUGCGGUAGGGGAGAUUGGAAUUCCUGGUGUAGCGGUGGAAUGCGCAGAUAUCAGGAGGAACACCGAUGGCGAAGGCAGAUCUCUGGGCCGUAACUGACGCUGAGGAGCGAAAGGGUGGGGAGCAAACAGGCUUAGAUACCCUGGUAGUCCACCCCGUAAACGUUGGGAACUAGUUGUGGGGUCCAUUCCACGGAUUCCGUGACGCAGCUAACGCAUUAAGUUCCCCGCCUGGGGAGUACGGCCGCAAGGCUAAAACUCAAAGGAAUUGACGGGGACCCGCACAAGCGGCGGAGCAUGCGGAUUAAUUCGAUGCAACGCGAAGAACCUUACCAAGGCUUGACAUAUACGAGAACGGGCCAGAAAUGGUCAACUCUUUGGACACUCGUAAACAGGUGGUGCAUGGUUGUCGUCAGCUCGUGUCGUGAGAUGUUGGGUUAAGUCCCGCAACGAGCGCAACCCUCGUUCUAUGUUGCCAGCACGUAAUGGUGGGAACUCAUGGGAUACUGCCGGGGUCAACUCGGAGGAAGGUGGGGAUGACGUCAAAUCAUCAUGCCCCUUAUGUCUUGGGCUUCACGCAUGCUACAAUGGCCGGUACAAAGGGCUGCAAUACCGUGAGGUGGAGCGAAUCCCAAAAAGCCGGUCCCAGUUCGGAUUGAGGUCUGCAACUCGACCUCAUGAAGUCGGAGUCGCUAGUAAUCGCAGAUCAGCAACGCUGCGGUGAAUACGUUCCCGGGUCUUGUACACACCGCCCGUCAAGUCAUGAAAGUCGGUAACACCUGAAGCCGGUGGCCUAACCCUUGUGGAGGGAGCUGUCGAAGGUGGGAUCGGUAAUUAGGACUAAG
RNAcentral lists this ribosomal RNA (1225 nucleotides) under Microbacterium paraoxydans. Its description in RNAcentral is "bacterial SSU rRNA". It matches the Rfam family "Bacterial small subunit ribosomal RNA", at positions 247 to 1485 of the family's 1533-position model. The record is from RNAcentral. Lineage: Bacteria; Bacillati; Actinomycetota; Actinomycetes; Micrococcales; Microbacteriaceae.